This 4047-nucleotide unclassified non-coding RNA is filed under the name Anthonomus grandis grandis. Its description in RNAcentral is "uncharacterized LOC126746445". The record is from RNAcentral. Lineage: Eukaryota; Metazoa; Arthropoda; Insecta; Coleoptera; Curculionidae.
CUUAAAAUCUGAAUUAAGAUAUUCAUCAAAAGAAUAAAUGCAUUGUGUAACCAGCCAUCCUGGGGAAAAAAUAAAAUUAGGAUUUGGGUCGUAAGAUUCUUUAUUUCGGUGCCUUUCCACUGCGAAACUUAAAAUUAAACUUAUGAUUAAUAGACAAAUUUUAAUUGAGUUUUACUCUCGAGACGAAUGUUUACAAAAAUUAAUUAUUCACACAGGGUAAAAGCCAGUUGACCAGAAUGACAGUCGAUCGAUUGAACGGUUAAGAUGACUUCAGCGAUCACUCACAUAUUAUAGGCAAAUGUGAUAUUGGCCUGUAAUUUUUUUUUCUCUCUUUUUAAAAAUUGGCACCACUUUGAGAACAGGAAAAGUAUUCUGUUUAUUUCAUGUAAGAGGAUGUAUGAGAAUACACUAUUAGAAAUUAUAUAAAACUAUAUUAAAUAUGUUUCGAAGAAAUAAGAGAACACCUAAAUGUGAACUUUAUAAGGAAAAUAUCCUACAUGUAAAAUUAAUGUAUGUUUUAAAUGCUUGUUUUUUCGUAUCGUCAGUGUCCAGGCAAAGUAUUGUAAGCGACAUUUUUUGCAAAAUUGCGAUAUUGGUGUUUCCGGAAUUGUCUAGGUGAGCUGCAUCGACUUAGAAAAAACAUCGUUAGCGCCAAAGGUCACAGAACGUCAUAAUUUAAUUUUUUAAAUUUACAAUCGUAUGCACGUUUAAUAUGUAAAAUAUCGUAAGCCUGUGUCGCUUACAUUUUAUUCGAUAGCGAAUCUCUUUAAACAGUUACUAAAAGAUUCAGCAUAAAUAUUGUAACCGCCCGUCCCUUACGACAUUUUGUUUUUUUAAUCGUUAUGUUUCGCGCCAAAAUUAGGGUAUGAAAUAUCACAACCGCCCAAAAUAUUCAUAUAAAUAAACGUAUCCGCCUGUCGCUUAUGAUAUUUUUGUUUUGUUUGUCAUUAUGUUUUGCGCCAACAUUAGGGUAUGAAAUAUCGCAACCGCCCAAAUAUUUGUAGAAAUAAACGUAUCCGCCAGUCGCUUACGAUAUAUUGGAAAUCGUGGUAUAUCAGACACGUUGGUUCUCGUCGGAUGUUAAAUAAUCGUAACGACCAAACUAAUCAGUUUUUAAACCCUCCUCGUGGAAAGCGGACGUGUUUUUAGUGUGUUUUGUUGUUAUACUGUUAUUUAUUUAUCCUAAAAAUGUCUAGGGGCUUACGGUGUCUGAAUCUCUUCAAGGAAUUUGUGUAUUAAUAUAAAAGUAAAGAAGCUGUUGAAACCCUGAAAUUGCGACUCACAAACGAAGAGUUUUCCGACGGAACAACAAUGUUUCAAAAGACGUUGGCGGUACUCCCACAAACAAAGGGAGACGAAUCUAAAGAUGCUCCAGACCCCAUGACUAUUCUUGACAAUGUUUUUUUUGAGCAAAAUCCAGAAUUAUCCUUUCAACCCAAGCCUGAUCAAGAAAUUAUUGUUAAUAAAUUAGCGGGACAUGAAGCUACGGUACAUUCACAAACAAACGGAGACGAACCUAAAAAUGAUCCAGAAACAAUUAUGACCUACACUAUUCUCGAAAAUGUUAUUGACAGUGUUAUUUCUGAGCAAAAUCCAGAGUUAUCUCUGCAACCCAAAGGUGAUCAAGAAGUUAUUAUCAAUGAACCAUUAGCAGGAGGAGCCGCUGAAACUACCGACCUUGAUAAAGACAACAUCCCUAUUAUUAUUAUACAACCAAAUGGAACAGUUGUUUCUAAUGAGGAAAAUAGUAUUGCCAUGAAUUCAUUCAGUGUUGCGCUAACCUCAAUAUUACUGGUGUAUCAAACCUUGACUUCCUGAUGAACGAAAGUGUUCUGGAACCAUCUUGCAAUGAAACAAUAAGUGCUAAAAUUAUGACGUUUCCAUUCGAUAAUAAUAGUUUAAGUAUAGAAAGUUAUAAUCCCCAGUCUAAGCAAACAGUGACAACUCUUCAGAACAAUAAAUCCACAGAUGAUAAACAAGAAAUGGCUAUGAAUCUUGACAGAGAAGAUAAUGAUAAAAAUGAAGAAGACAUUAGUUCAGGAGAUCAAAGCAGUGAUCAGGCUAGCACUGGUUUGUCCAAAUAUAAAAUCAAAAAACCAAAUAAAAGGCUAGAAAAAAAGAAACUAAAGAGUUCUGGUGUAAAUAAAGCAGUAAAGCCGAUUCCAUGUGCUGGGAAAAAAUGUCAGAAUAAUUGUAAAUCAGUAAGUGAAACUGACAGAAAGCAAAUAUUUAAUGCCUAUUAUGAACUUGAGACCUAUGAAGAAAAGAAAAGUUGGCUAAUUCAAUGUAUGAAGCAAAAAGAAAUAGGAAGAAAACGUACCAAGAAUAAUAAUUCCAAGCGACAAAGAAACUAUAGAAUAUAACUUAACAGUAUAAGGAGAACAAAAAAGAGUUUGUCAGCAGUUCAUACUAAAAACCCUGGAUGUCAGUCAAAUGUCUUUGCGACAAACCAUAAACAAUAUUUCUAAGACAGGAAUGAUUAAAAAAGACUCGCGAGGUCGCUGUGCACCAAAAAAUAAGACAUCUGAGCAAUCUAUUAAACAUGUCAAUGAUUUUAUUAAUAAAAUACCAGUGGUGCCAUCCCGCUUUCUGAAAUUGAAAAUUUUUCAAAUCUAUACAGAUUGUAUAAGGAAGAUUGUAAAAUGCAAAAAAUGGAUCCAGUGAGCAGAGCAACGUUUUUAAAGAUUUUUAAAGGUUACAAUCUAGGCAUUCAUGUAAAAAAAAAGAUAAAUGCAGUCUUUGUGAAAGGGUCCUAAGUACAGGCGAAAAAAAUGUAGAAGCAGCAGAUUUAGAAAACUAUCUGCGUCAUAGAGAAGAGAUAAAAAAAACAGUCGUGAUAAAUUUAAAAAAGAUCAAGAAAAUUGCGAUCCAAAUUUCAUGUGUGCAUCUUUUGAUCUGCACAAGGUGUUAACUACGCCACACGGAAACAGUAUACUUUUAUAUUAUGCUCGUAAAUUAGCUGUUUACAAUUUCACGGUAUAUGAAAGUAUAACAAAAAACGGUUUUUGUUUCCUGUAGAAUGAGACUUUGGGAAAAAAAGGUUCAAACGAAGUUUGCACUGCCCUACAAAAAUACCUUGAACUUUUGGAUCAACGUAUUUCUCCUGAAAUAUCCGAACGUUCCGCGAUAAUUGCAGUGGACAAAAUAAAAACAAACAAGUUUUGGCAAUGAUUAACACAUUUCUUAAAAUAUCUAUUCACAUAAAAAAAUCACAUUAAACUAUCUAAUUGCCGGCCAUACAUACAUGCCUGUUGAUUCUAUGCAUUCCACUAUAGAAUCAUUUAUAUAAAAAAAAAUCAAUUAUGCACCUUCAAUGUGGAAAUCUGCUAUAAGUCUUGCAAGGCACACACCCGGACCAUAUUUCGUCAAUUUAUUGAACUAUGACAAUUUUCUGAACUAUUCAACCAUUGCAAAAGGGGUUUCUAAUUUUUCCCAGUAUGUUGAAGACACAGAAACUACUGAACAACCUGAAUCAAUUUUAAAGAAAAAACGAACUAAAACUAGAAGCAAAAAACCUAAAUUAGUCAAAGGUAAGCCCCUUCAAAUUUCCAAAAUUCGGGUAGUAAAAAUAGAAGCAGUAAAUCCAAAAUACAUGACAGUUCAGUAUAUAGUUAUUUGCAAGGGUUAGCCAAUAAAAAGCACUUUACUAUUAAAAAUGAAAGAAAGCCCCUUAAUAAAUGCUACACUUCCCUACUGCCGAUAUCGGCGGCUAAAUACAAAGAUCUCAGCAAAAUAUGUUUGCAGUCAGCUAUUCCAAAGGACUAUCACACCGAAUUCAUUAGUCUGCCACAUUCGCAGGACAUUAUAGACGUAUUACCGGACGCAGAUGAAGAGGACGAAGGCGUUUAAUUUAUUAUUAUUUUUUGAAAUGUUUUGUUUAAUGUUGCUGCUGUUACUGUCGUUUUUUUUUUAAAUAAAGAUACCAUGACUGUAAUAAAACCUAAUUAUUUUAAUUUGGUGCUUACGAUAUUAUAAAAAUAAUUCGCAAGUUAUUUUGAUACAAGCAACAUUAAAAAUAUCCUAAGCUCCAUGGAAUUCCCAAAACGC